UGGGGAACCUUGCGCAAUGGGCGAAAGCCUGACGCAGCAACGCCGCGUGCGGGAAGAAGGUCUUAGGGUUGUAAACCGCUUUCAGCAGGUACGAAGGCGUUCGGGUUAAUAGCCCGGAGGUUGACGGUACCUGCAGAAGAAGGUCCGGCUAACUACGUG
Molecule: ribosomal RNA, 159 nt
Filed under: uncultured bacterium
Lineage: Bacteria
Description: partial 16S ribosomal RNA
Rfam family: Bacterial small subunit ribosomal RNA
Source: RNAcentral